CGCUGGGGGGGUGCUUACACAUGCAGUCGACGGUGAAGCAGAGCUUGCUCUGUGGAUCAGUGGCGAACGGGUGAGUAACACGUGAGCAAUCUGCCCCUGACUCUGGGAUAAGCGCUGGAAACGGCGUCUAAUACCGGAUACGAGCUGCGACCGCAUGGUCAGUAGCUGGAAAGAAUUUCGGUCAGGGAUGAGCUCGCGGCCUAUCAGCUUGUUGGUGAGGUAAUGGCUCACCAAGGCGUCGACGGGUAGCCGGCCUGAGAGGGUGACCGGCCACACUGGGACUGAGACACGGCCCAGACUCCUACGGGAGGCAGCAGUGGGGAAUAUUGCACAAUGGGCGCAAGCCUGAUGCAGCAACGCCGCGUGAGGGAUGACGGCCUUCGGGUUGUAAACCUCUUUUAGCAGGGAAGAAGCGAAAGUGACGGUACCUGCAGAAAAAGCGCCGGCUAACUACGUGCCAGCAGCCGCGGUAAUACGUAGGGCGCAAGCGUUAUCCGGAAUUAUUGGGCGUAAAGAGCUCGUAGGCGGUCUGUCGCGUCUGCUGUGAAAACCCGAGGCUCAACCUCGGGCCUGCAGUGGGUACGGGCAGACUAGAGUGCGGUAGGGGAGAUUGGAAUUCCUGGUGUAGCGGUGGAAUGCGCAGAUAUCAGGAGGAACACCGAUGGCGAAGGCAGAUCUCUGGGCCGUAACUGACGCUGAGGAGCGAAAGGGUGGGGAGCAAACAGGCUUAGAUACCCUGGUAGUCCACCCCGUAAACGUUGGGAACUAGUUGUGGGGUCCAUUCCACGGAUUCCGUGACGCAGCUAACGCAUUAAGUUCCCCGCCUGGGGAGUACGGCCGCAAGGCUAAAACUCAAAGGAAUUGACGGGGACCCGCACAAGCGGCGGAGCAUGCGGAUUAAUUCGAUGCAACGCGAAGAACCUUACCAAGGCUUGACAUAUAGAGGAAACGUCUGGAAACAGUCGCCCCGCAAGGUCUCUAUACAGGUGGUGCAUGGUUGUCGUCAGCUCGUGUCGUGAGAUGUUGGGUUAAGUCCCGCAACGAGCGCAACCCUCGUUCUAUGUUGCCAGCACGUAAUGGUGGGAACUCAUGGGAUACUGCCGGGGUCAACUCGGAGGAAGGUGGGGAUGACGUCAAAUCAUCAUGCCCCUUAUGUCUUGGGCUUCACGCAUGCUACAAUGGCCGGUACAAAGGGCUGCAAUACCGUGAGGUGGAGCGAAUCCCAAAAAGCCGGUCCCAGUUCGGAUUGAGGUCUGCAACUCGACCUCAUGAAGUCGGAGUCGCUAGUAAUCGCAGAUCAGCAACGCUGCGGUGAAUACGUUCCCGGGUCUUGUACACACCGCCCGUCAAGUCAUGAAAGUCGGUAACACCUGAAGCCGGUGGCCCAACCCUUGUGGAGGGAGCCGUCGAAGUGAUCGUU
RNAcentral lists this ribosomal RNA (1420 nucleotides) under Microbacterium sp. HY16(2010). RNAcentral describes it as "bacterial SSU rRNA". It matches the Rfam family "Bacterial small subunit ribosomal RNA". Lineage: Bacteria; Bacillati; Actinomycetota; Actinomycetes; Micrococcales; Microbacteriaceae. The record is from RNAcentral.